RNAcentral lists this unclassified non-coding RNA (343 nucleotides) under soil metagenome. RNAcentral's name for it is "partial contains 5.8S ribosomal RNA, internal transcribed spacer 2, and large subunit ribosomal RNA". The stretch from base 1 to 120 matches the Rfam family "5.8S ribosomal RNA", at positions 35 to 154 of the family's 154-position model. The record is from RNAcentral.
GAUGAAGAACGCAGCGAAAUGCGAUAAGUAAUGCGAAUUGCAGAAUUCAGUGAGUCAUCGAAUCUUUGAACGCACAUUGCGCCCGCCAGCAUUCUGGCGGGCAUGCCUGUUCGAGCGUCAUUUCAACCCUCGACCUCCCUUUGGGGAAGUCGGCGUUGGGGACCGGCAGCACACCGCCGGCCCUGAAAUGGAGUGGCGGCCCGUCCGCGGCGACCUCUGCGUAGUAAACCAACUCGCACCGGAACCCCGACGUGGCCACGCCGUAAAACACCCAACUUCUGAACGUUGACCUCGAAUCAGGUAGGACUACCCGCUGAACUUAAGCAUAUCAAUAAGCGGAGGA